AGUGGACGCUGGCGGUAGGCCUAACACAUGCAAGUCGAACGGCAGCACAGUAAGAGCUUGCUCUUACGGGUGGCGAGUGGCGGACGGGUGAGGAAUACAUCGGAAUCUACUUUUUCGUGGGGGAUAACGUAGGGAAACUUACGCUAAUACCGCAUACGACCUACGGGUGAAAGCAGGGGAUCUUCGGACCUUGCGCGAUUGAAUGAGCCGAUGUCGGAUUAGCUAGUUGGCGGGGUAAAGGCCCACCAAGGCGACGAUCCGUAGCUGGUCUGAGAGGAUGAUCCGCCACACUGGAACUGAGACACGGCCCAGACUCCUACGGGAGGCAGCAGUGGGGAAUAUUGGACAAUGGGCGCAAGCCUAAUCCAGCCAUACCGCGUGAGUGAAGAAGGCCUUCGGGUUGUAAAGCCCUUUUGUUGGGAAAGAAAAGCAGCAGGUUAAUACCCCGCUGUUCUGACGGUACCCAAAGAAUAAGCACCGGCUAACUUCGUG
This 492-nucleotide ribosomal RNA is filed under the name uncultured bacterium. RNAcentral's name for it is "partial 16S ribosomal RNA". It matches the Rfam family "Bacterial small subunit ribosomal RNA", at positions 29 to 507 of the family's 1533-position model. The record is from RNAcentral.